This 272-nucleotide ribosomal RNA is filed under the name uncultured bacterium. Its description in RNAcentral is "partial 16S ribosomal RNA". It matches the Rfam family "Bacterial small subunit ribosomal RNA", at positions 525 to 796 of the family's 1533-position model. The record is from RNAcentral.
ACGGAGGAUGCAAGCGUUAUCCGGAAUGAUUGGGCGUAAAGGGUCCGCAGGUGGCAAUGUGUGUCUGCUGUCAAAGAAUGAGGCUUAACCUCAUCAAGGCAGUGGAAACUACAUAGCUAGAGUACGGUCGGGGUAGAAGGAAUUCCUGGUGUAGCGGUGAAAUGCGUAGAGAUCAGGAAGAACACCGGUGGCGAAAGCGUUCUGCUAGACCUGUACUGACACUGAGGGACGAAAGCUAGGGGAGCGAAUGGGAUUAGAAACCCGCGUAGUCC